Molecule: ribosomal RNA, 426 nt
Filed under: uncultured prokaryote
Description: bacterial SSU rRNA
Rfam family: Bacterial small subunit ribosomal RNA
Source: RNAcentral
UGGGGAAUCUUCCGCAAUGGACGAGAGUCUGACGGAGCGACGCCGCGUGAGUGAUGAAGGCCCUUGGGUCGUAAAGCUCUGUCAUUGGGGACGAACGAUUACGUCAGGAAAUGGGCGUGAAGUGACGGUACCCAAGAAGGAAGCCACGGCUAACUACGUGCCAGCAGCCGCGGUAAUACGUAGGUGGCAAGCGUUGUCCGGAAUUAUUGGGCGUAAAGCGCGCGCAGGUGGGAUCUUAAGUCCAUUUUGAAAGUUCGGAGCUCAACUUCGUGAGGGGAUGGAAACUGGGAUUCUUGAGUAUCGGAGAGGAAAGCGGAAUUCCCCGUGUAGCGGUGAAAUGCGUAGAUAUGGGGAGGAACACCAGUGGCGAAGGCGGCUUUCUGGACGAUGCCUGACACUGAGGCGCGAAAGCCAGGGGAGCGAACG